GUCUACGGCCAUACUACCCUGAACGCGCCCGAUCUUGUCGGAUCUCGGAAGCUAAGCAGGGUCGGGCCUGGUUAGUACUUGGAUGGGAAAUUACUCACUUACUCAAAAAGAACUAUAAGAUAUCAGAACAGAAGAUG
Molecule: ribosomal RNA, 137 nt
Organism: Ochotona princeps (American pika)
Lineage: Eukaryota; Metazoa; Chordata; Mammalia; Lagomorpha; Ochotonidae
Source: Ensembl